Molecule: ribosomal RNA, 435 nt
Filed under: uncultured bacterium
Lineage: Bacteria
Description: partial 16S ribosomal RNA
Rfam family: Bacterial small subunit ribosomal RNA
Source: RNAcentral
AGCGAACGCUGGCGGCAGGCUUAACACAUGCAAGUCGAGCGGGCAUAGCAAUAUGUCAGCGGCAGACGGGUGAGUAACGCGUGGGAACGUACCUUUUGGUUCGGAACAACUGAGGGAAACUUCAGCUAAUACCGGAUAAGCCCUUACGGGGAAAGAUUUAUCGCCGAAAGAUCGGCCCGCGUCUGAUUAGCUAGUUGGUGAGGUAAUGGCUCACCAAGGCGACGAUCAGUAGCUGGUCUGAGAGGAUGAUCAGCCACAUUGGGACUGAGACACGGCCCAAACUCCCACGGGAGGCAGCAGUGGGGAAUAUUGGACAAUGGGCGCAAGCCUGAUCCAGCCAUGCCGCGUGAGUGAUGAAGGCCCUAGGGUUGUAAAGCUCUUUUGUGCGGGAAGAUAAUGACGGUACCGCAAGAAUAAGCCCCGGCUAACUUCGUG